RNAcentral lists this ribosomal RNA (484 nucleotides) under uncultured bacterium. RNAcentral's name for it is "partial 16S ribosomal RNA". It matches the Rfam family "Bacterial small subunit ribosomal RNA", at positions 30 to 507 of the family's 1533-position model. The record is from RNAcentral.
AUUGAACGCUGGCGGCAUGCUUUACACAUGCAAGUCGAACGGUAACAGGGAGCUUGCUCCGCUUACGAGUGGCGAACGGGUGAGUAAUAUAUCGGAACGUACCCAAGUGUGUGUGCUAACGUAGCGAAAGUUACGCUAAUACCGCAUACGAUCUAAGGAUGAAAGCAGGGGACCUUCGGGCCUUGUGCUCCUGCAGCGGCCGAUAUCUGAUUAGCUAGUUGGUGAGGUAAAGGCUCACCAAGGCGACGAUCAGUAGCUGGUCUGAGAGGACGACCAGCCACACUGGAACUGAGACACGGUCCAGACUCCUACGGGAGGCAGUAGUGGGGAAUAUUGGACAAUGGGCGCAAGCCUGAUCCAGCAAUGCCGCGUGAGUGAAGAAGGCCUUCGGGUUGUAAAGCUCUUUUGUCAGGGAAGAAACGGGAUUGGCUAAUAUCCAGUCCUAAUGACGGUACCUGAAGAAUAAGCACCGGCUAACUACGUG